This 500-nucleotide ribosomal RNA is filed under the name uncultured bacterium. RNAcentral describes it as "bacterial SSU rRNA". It matches the Rfam family "Bacterial small subunit ribosomal RNA", at positions 28 to 523 of the family's 1533-position model. The record is from RNAcentral.
GAUGAACGCUAGCGGCAGGCCUAAUGCAUGCAAGACGAACGGUAAGUUGAGUAGCAAUACUUAGCCAAGAGUGUCGCACGGGUGCGUAACACGUAUGCAACCUACCCUAUACAGGAGGAUAGCCUAGGGAAACCUGGAUUAACCCUUCAUAGUAUUAUUGGAUGGCAUCAUUUGAUAAUUAAAACUGAGGUGGUAUAGGAUGGGCAUGCGUCUGAUUAGUUAGUUGGCGGGUAAUGGCCCACCAAGACGAUGAUCAGUAGGGGUUCUGAGAGGAAGAUCCCCCACACUGGCACUGAGAUACGGGCCAGACUCCUACGGGAGGCAGCAGUAGGGAAUAUUGGUCAAUGGAUGCAAGUCUGAACCAGCCAUGCCGCGUGCAGGAAGAAGGCCUUUCUGGGGUUGUAAACUGCUUUUGCCAGGGGAUAAAAUUUCCAUGCGUGGAAAACUGAAGGUACCUGGUGAAUAAGCCACGGCUAACUACGUGCCAGCAGCCGCGGUAA